RNAcentral lists this long non-coding RNA (2237 nucleotides) under Cyanistes caeruleus (blue tit). RNAcentral describes it as "lncRNA (ENSCCEG00000012682.1)". Lineage: Eukaryota; Metazoa; Chordata; Aves; Passeriformes; Paridae. The record is from RNAcentral.
AUUAAGAGUAUGUUUUAAAGGCUUUCCAGUCCUGGAUUGAGUAAAUAGUUGCUAAAUUUCGAUAAAUAACUUUUAAAAUCUACAUUAAAUAAGCAGUUAAGUGUAUUUAGGAUACUCUUUUUUUUCCCCCAGAAUUGCUCCAGUCAGAGAGUCCUGGGUUAUAAUCUCAGUAUUUCACUGGUAAUAGGGCUGUGCUUGCUCAUAUCUGUUUUGCCUCAAAGAUCCUGCUGGGUGUGGCAAGCUUGGCUACUGACAUCUGCAAGCUUUAAACCUUUCCCAUUCCCACAGCCCAGAGGAGCUGUUAGUGUGCUCAGCCCUAUUUUACAAGUACAGAAUUAAGGCACAGAAGAGCAAAGUCAUUUGUUCAAAGCCAUGCAGGGAGUCAGUAAUGGAGCAGAACAGGAGCCAACAACAGAUCAAAAAAUAUUUCUCUAAAAAUAAGGCUUUGAAAAUCCGUAAAGAAAAUGUGGCUCUAACAAAAUGUUCUGUUACGUUCAAAACCGCAAUUAGUCAUUACUGAUUUUGGUAAUGAAUGUACAAAUGUCCCAUGACCCCCAGAACCUAACAAACAUCUCUAUCCAUUUGCUGCUUUUGCCCAGGGAACGCCAGCUGGACUGACAACAGUGGAUGGGCACCACUGAGUGAUGCCUGGAGACAGCUCUUGCCUCUGUUGCACCAGGAAAAUCUAUCCAAGGUUGCACAUCACAAAAAAAGAGGUGCCAUCACCCUGGGAGACAUGGCAAGGAAUAAUUUAGUGCUCCCUUAACCUUUGUAGGGCUGAUCUGGAGCUCCCUGCUGCUCCCUGCAGCCAGGGUGUUUCUGCUGUGAAUGACUGCAGCAUCCUGAGGAGCGAGUGGCCAAGGGCUGCUGUCCUGCAGAGUGGCACAGAGGCCCUCGUGCCAUUUGGGGGCACAGCUGAACUCAGUCCAGCUGACAGGGUGGGAGGAGGAUGGCUGCACCCAGGCACAGGGACCCCUCAGUGAUGCUAGAAAAGCCACCAUGUGCAGGGCUAGGACAGCUGCACUGCCCUGGAGGGUGUCCUGGGUGGCUCAGCAUGGGCAACCGGCCCUGGGUGAUGGGAGCUGCCAGGCAAGCUCAGGCCACUGAGUCCCUGAGCCAGCCAGCCUUGCUGGGAGAUGAAAACUUUGCUAAAAUCUUGCCCCUGAUCCCAUCUUCUUGUCCAGAGCUUCCUGCUCUUGAGUUUGUGUCAGGUCCCUGGUUCAGCUUAAAAUGGUAAUGGCAUUACUGCUGAAACAAAUGGCACCUGGAGCUGUAGGAGGUGCUGGGCUCUGCAGAACUGUUUGGAUGGGAGGGACAUGGAUUCAGAGGAUUCUCCUGCAGCUUCUUCUCCCCUCCUCCCAUCCCAGGGAUAUUCUGGAGAGCUGCUGUCACGACAGGAAGCAGGACUCUGGCCAUCAGCUCCUGCUCCUGGGAAAUCCAUGGGGCUCUGCCACAUCAUGAGGUUUUCAGUCCCUGUCAAGUUCUCAACUUUUGAUGAGAUGGUUCAAAUCAGGAAAAUCCUGUCUUUGUGCCAGACAUUUAAAUCUGAAAGUAAUUAAGGCAAAAUCUUUUCCUGCACAUAAAGUACCUAACAUGUGGCAAUAGCAAAAUCAUCAGAGUUUCUUCUAUCAUAAGCCCACAAAACAUAUUGGAUUUUGAACGAAGCACAUGAAACAAUGGCCUUUGUAUACAACUUAUCUCGACCUCUGAAAGUAAUGGCAUUUUUUCUCCAAUUCUACUGUUAAAUGCAAAUGCUGAAUUCUGAAUAUUCACAUUUGAGAAGGAUUCAUGGCUGGAUUGUUUCAAAAAUCUGAGUGCCCCCAAGAAGUUUCUCUCCACAUAUGAAGUGUUUGCUGAAGUUCCCAGACCUAUUCUCAGAACAGUUUCCUGCCCAGCCCAAACUCCAGCAGCAAACACCCAGACUGUGGGAGGCUGAACUCAGCCUCCUCUUUCCCAGCUAAACCACCCAAAAGCUUCAGGCUUGGCAACUGUGACUCCUCUUACUUCCUCCUACGGUUCAUUCCCUAGCUAAGCCCUUUCCCAACUCACCAACAGACACGUCAAAUCCCACGUAGCGCAGUCCUUGAGCUGCACAGGACCAAUGUACCACCCCAGUGAUGGGGAAUCACAUCCCACCUGGGCUGAGCCCCCUCUGUUGGGCCCAGCCACGGCUCCAAACCAGGACCAGGAUCCCAAAGCAGAUUAAGAGCAGUUAAAGCAGCCAAUAAUGCAGCACG